GUUACUCACAUAUAUGAGUCCGGAGUAGUAGCGGUCCUUCAGGUUGUGCAGCACGGAUGCCUCAUUCAGGCAGCCAGCUCCACCACAACCUCCUCACCGCGCUCCUCACGGAUACUGGCCCCCUCAAAACCAUGGCGCUCUGAGGGAACCCAAACCAGCUUCUUGGCUGUCCAGUCAGCCUGUGUUGCCGGGUUGUAAACCACGGCCCGAUCCACAAACAGAUUAUGCAACAAUGCUGACUCACCAGCCUGGCAAACCGCUGGGCCUCGCUGACCCUCUCCACCAACAUCAUCACCUCCUCCUCGUGGGUGGGGAAGGCAGGAAGUUUCUUUCCAAUCAGGCUUUCAAUUCUCUGGAAAAGCUCCACAUCAUACCUGAGCGGAAAAAAAAGGAAACGUACCACACUUGACGCCAAUGCUUGAACCGAGGGCCUCAAACUGCUCUGAGAUCUGAAAGGCCAACUCUCUGGUGGGAGUGAGGACGAGGGUAUGAAGCCUCUGGGGUAAGGCCAACAGUGACUGGAGGAUGGGCAGAGCAAAAGCACCAGUCUUUCCUGAACCGGUCUCAGCCAAGCCAAUGACAUCCUUUCCUUCACAGCAAGAAGAUGAUGAUAAAUAUAAAAUAUCAAUACGA
Molecule: long non-coding RNA, 633 nt
Organism: Phyllopteryx taeniolatus (common seadragon)
Lineage: Eukaryota; Metazoa; Chordata; Actinopteri; Syngnathiformes; Syngnathidae
Exons: 4
Source: RefSeq, a predicted model, not a curated record